This 1278-nucleotide ribosomal RNA is filed under the name Halomonas sp. HL13. Its description in RNAcentral is "bacterial SSU rRNA". It matches the Rfam family "Bacterial small subunit ribosomal RNA", at positions 23 to 1333 of the family's 1533-position model. The record is from RNAcentral. Lineage: Bacteria; Pseudomonadati; Pseudomonadota; Gammaproteobacteria; Oceanospirillales; Halomonadaceae.
CGCGGAAGGGGCUGCGGGCCUACCACGUGCGGUCGAGCGGUAACAGAUCUAGCUUGCUGGAUGCUAAGGAGCGGCGGACGGGUGAGUAGUGCAUAGGAAUCUACCCAGUAGUGGGGGAUAACCUGGGGAAACCCAGGCUAAUACCGCAUACGUCCUACGGGAGAAAGGGGGCUUUGGCUCCCGCUAUCGGAUGAGCCUAUGCCGGAUUAGCUGGUUGGUGAGGUAACGGCUCACCAAGGCGACGAUCCGUAGCUGGUCUGAGAGGAUGAUCAGCCACAUCGGGACUGAGACACGGCCCGAACUCCUACGGGAGGCAGCAGUGGGGAAUAUUGGACAAUGGGGGCAACCCUGAUCCAGCCAUGCCGCGUGUGUGAAGAAGGCCCUCGGGUUGUAAAGCACUUUCAGCGAGGAAGAACGCCUAUCGGUUAAUACCCGUUAGGAAAGACAUCACUCGCAGAAGAAGCACCGGCUAACUCCGUGCCAGCAGCCGCGGUAAUACGGAGGGUGCAAGCGUUAAUCGGAAUUACUGGGCGUAAAGCGCGCGUAGGUGGCUUGAUAAGCCGGUUGUGAAAGCCCCGGGCUCAACCUGGGAACGGCAUCCGGAACUAUCAGGCUAGAGUGCAGGAGAGGAAGGUAGAAUUCCCGGUGUAGCGGUGAAAUGCGUAGAGAUCGGGAGGAAUACCAGUGGCGAAGGCGGCCUUCUGGACUGACACUGACACUGAGGUGCGAAAGCGUGGGUAGCAAACAGGAUUAGAUACCCUGGUAGUCCACGCCGUAAACGAUGUCGACCAGCCGUUGGGUGCCUAGCGCACUUUGUGGCGAAGUUAACGCGAUAAGUCGACCGCCUGGGGAGUACGCCGCAAGGUUAAAACUCAAAUGAAUUGACGGGGGCCCGCACAAGCGGUGGAGCAUGUGGUUUAAUUCGAUGCAACGCGAAGAACCUUACCUACCCUUGACAUCCUGCGAACUUGUGAGAGAUCAUGUGGUGCCUUCGGGACUGCAAAGACAGUGCUGCAUGGCUGUCGUCAGCUCGUGUUGUGAAAUGUUGGUAAGUCCCGUAACGAGCGCAACCCUUGUCUUAUUGCCACGAGUAUUGUUCGGGAACUUCUAGGAGACUGCGGGAACAAACUGAGGAGGUGGGGACGACGUUCAGUCAUCAUGCCUUUACGGUAGGGCUACCACGUGCUACAUGGCCGGUUACAAGGCUUCGAACCUCGGAAGCUCACGAUCCAUAGUCGUCUAAUUCGGGAAUACGGAGUCUGCGUCAACUCUGACAUC